This 39-nucleotide ribosomal RNA is filed under the name Neofusicoccum parvum. Its description in RNAcentral is "partial 18S ribosomal RNA". The record is from RNAcentral. Lineage: Eukaryota; Fungi; Ascomycota; Dothideomycetes; Botryosphaeriales; Botryosphaeriaceae.
AACGAUCCUUCCGUAGGUGAACCUGCGGAAGGAUCAUUA